UGGGGAAUAUUGCACAAUGGGCGCAAGCCUGAUGCAGCCAUGCCGCGUGUAUGAAGAAGGCCUUCGGGUUGUAAAGUACUUUCAGCGGGGAGGAAGGGAGUAAAGUUAAUACCUUUGCUCAUUGACGUUACCCGCAGAAGAAGCACCGGCUAACUCCGUGCCAGCAGCCGCGGUAAUACGGAGGGUGCAAGCGUUAAUCGGAAUUACUGGGCGUAAAGCGCACGCAGGCGGUCUGUCAAGUCGGAUGUGAAAUCCCCGGGCUCAACCUGGGAACUGCAUUCGAAACUGGCAGGCUAGAGUCUUGUAGAGGGGGGUAGAAUUCCAGGUGUAGCGGUGAAAUGCGUAGAGAUCUGGAGGAAUACCGGUGGCGGAGGCGGCCCCCUGGACAAAGACUGACGCUCAGGUGCGAAAGCGGGGGGAGCAAACAGG
Molecule: ribosomal RNA, 429 nt
Filed under: Chloroflexota bacterium
Lineage: Bacteria; Bacillati; Chloroflexota
Description: Chloroflexi bacterium partial 16S ribosomal RNA
Rfam family: Bacterial small subunit ribosomal RNA
Source: RNAcentral